Molecule: long non-coding RNA, 693 nt
Filed under: Homo sapiens (human)
Lineage: Eukaryota; Metazoa; Chordata; Mammalia; Primates; Hominidae
Description: HSALNT0156171
Source: RNAcentral
CUGACUCCAGGGACUUGCCUGGUCCCCUCCACCCCUGGAACUCCUGGACGGAAAAAUUGCUUUCAGAUGCCCUUCCUGGGCCCCUGGAAGCAUCUGGGUUCCCCCACCUCUUGAGCAAUUGGGGGUGACAACUGUGCCACUGUUUGCCACCACCAGCCUCCACCUCACUGAGCUUCAGAUCCUCCGCCUGGCUGGGCAUGACAGCAGUGCCCGUGUGGUGGGGUGGGGUUGUCGGGGUGGCAUGGUGCCCGCUUAGGCAGUGUUCACUGCUGCUGCUAGGGAGGGCGCAGGGUGGUGGCCCCCAUCUAAGCCCGGGUCCCCUGGGCUGUUGGCAACUGCCGCUCCGGUUCUGCUGGCCGAACCCCUCCUGCCCUGGGAAGCCGCUUCCCAUGCUGUUGGGCACCAUUUCUCGCGGAAUUGCAUGAGCCCUUGUCUGAGGACCUCUGUGACUGAGUCCUUGAACCUUUCCAGGAGCUGCCUCAGGCUGGUCUGGUGGUUGCGGGAAAAGGGUUGAGUUGGGCACACCUGCACCUGGCAUGGGUGUGGCACGUGGGGAGGCAGGUGGCCAUGGCCUGUGACUUCCGUGGCCUGGCUCAGGAGUCCCAUCCCCAGGCGUCUCCACCUCUGCCCCUCCCACCUCUGCCCUUCCCACCUCUGCCCCCAACCUGUGCCCCCUCCCUCUUCUACCCACCC